GCUGCUGGGAGAUUCCUGUGGGGAAACCCACCUCACUCUUUGGGGCUCCAUGGGUCGUUAGGGCUGCUCUGAGCCAGAGGAGAGUCUCAGCUCUCCUUGGGCCUCUUUUUCAAAGAUGGAUGGUGUCUCCUGUAGCAUAGACUGGCUUGGAGCGCACUCUUUAUGCAGUCCAAGGAUGACUGUCCUCCUCGUCACUGUGAUGUGGUGUCACUUUGGUGCUGUGACGAAACACCAUGACCAAGGCAACUUCUAGAAGAAAGCAUUUAUUUGGGGGCUUGCGUACAGUUUCAGAUGGCAUGCCUAUGUACUGUCUGCAUGCCUGGUGCCAAAGGAGGACAGAAGACGUCAGAUCUACUGGAACUGGA
Peromyscus maniculatus bairdii (prairie deer mouse) is the source of this 365-nucleotide non-coding RNA. The record is from RefSeq and is a predicted model, not a curated record. Lineage: Eukaryota; Metazoa; Chordata; Mammalia; Rodentia; Cricetidae.